AUCUAAGUGUUCAUAUCAAUUGAAAGGAUAUUGCUAUUAUUGUAAAAAAAUUGUAAAUAAGAGAUGACACAACCAAUAGUUCAAGAAAGCAUGGAUCAAUUGCUGUCCAGCUUGACGAGACAUGUCAGAAUAUUUCUUAGGAACAUUUCCGUUCAUAACGAACGUGCGAAAAAUGAGACGGUCUGGCGGCUAUACCGAUCGAUGACGUUCUCAAGAUAUAUUUGACCGACAGUAUUGUCGCUUUUUGCCAAAAUUCGAUGGGAGAACGACAGAGAUUAGACGCGUACAAAAGACGAGUGAACUCCAAUGAUGACGCACCACCUGAGCAAGCACCCGCGGCCGGCUUUGACAUCAAUGACCCAGCCAUUGCAAGCAGCACAUUCGUGGUGAACGAUGAACAAAUCAAAGAUUGACUACAACUGAAAAAGUGCCAAAAGAUGUUUCAUAACAAAUUAAAAAUAAGUGAAAAGAAUUGAGUUUUGCGCUCCAAAUAAAACACAAUCCGAUAUUGAGUGUAUUUGAAUUAUGCGAAAAUAUAUUUCAGAAUUUAUUUCUCGCUCAUAAAGAAAUAUUGUUGUUUU
Molecule: long non-coding RNA, 581 nt
Organism: Sitodiplosis mosellana (orange wheat blossom midge)
Lineage: Eukaryota; Metazoa; Arthropoda; Insecta; Diptera; Cecidomyiidae
Exons: 3
Source: RefSeq, a predicted model, not a curated record